This 42-nucleotide transfer RNA is filed under the name Artocarpus altilis. Its description in RNAcentral is "partial tRNA-Phe". Lineage: Eukaryota; Viridiplantae; Streptophyta; Magnoliopsida; Rosales; Moraceae. The record is from RNAcentral.
GUCGGGAUAGCUCAGCUGGUAGAGCAGAGGACGGACUGAAAA